This is a small nucleolar RNA of Dendrobium catenatum, 141 nucleotides long. RefSeq annotates it as small nucleolar RNA snoR134. The transcript has a single exon. NCBI's taxonomy places the organism in Eukaryota, Viridiplantae, Streptophyta, Magnoliopsida, Asparagales, Orchidaceae. The record is from RefSeq and is a predicted model, not a curated record.
UCGCACGGUGCACCCCGGGCUGUUCCGAAACCCCAUGACGAAGGUAGCCCCAAUGCUCGUGCAAGAGCUAUCGUCCGUUCUGUGUUGCAGUUCUGAUCGUUGUUAAUUUGACAGAUCUGUGUCAAAGCAACGGCUAAAUUU